UACGUAGGUGGCAAGCGUUGUCCGGAAUUACUGGGUGUAAAGGGAGCGCAGGCGGGAAGCCAAGUCAGCUGUGAAAACUACGGGCUUAACUUGUAGACUGCAGUUGAAACUGGUUUUCUUGAGUGAAGUAGAGGUUGGCGGAAUUCCGAGUGUAGCGGUGAAAUGCGUAGAUAUUCGGAGAAACACCGGUGGCGAAAGCGGCUCUCUGGCCUGUAACUGACACUGAGGCUCGAAAGCGUGGGGAGCAAACAGG
Molecule: ribosomal RNA, 253 nt
Filed under: uncultured bacterium
Lineage: Bacteria
Description: partial 16S ribosomal RNA
Rfam family: Bacterial small subunit ribosomal RNA
Source: RNAcentral